Molecule: non-coding RNA, 3377 nt
Organism: Manis javanica (Malayan pangolin)
Lineage: Eukaryota; Metazoa; Chordata; Mammalia; Pholidota; Manidae
Source: RefSeq, a predicted model, not a curated record
GCGAGCUUCUGGAAAGGCAAUAGGAAGUUGCCUUCUCAUGGGCCGGACACGAGGGCAGGAGCAGGGCUAUAAGGAGCCGGGCUGGGCAGAGGGCAGCCAGCCUGCAGAGCCAGAGGACAUGGCCAGCUGCCUAGAAGCCAUCUGGAACUGGAGAUUUCAGAGCGUGGUCUUCAGAACCGCCCAACUCCUCUGCUUUGGUGUCCUGGUUGCUGAGCUUGUGGACCGGAAGGCCGUGGCGGCGUGGACCUACCACUACAGCACCAAAGCCUAUUCGUGGGACAACUCCCGGGCAUUCUGCCAGAGCCUCUACACGGACUUGGUGGCCAUCCAGAACAAAGACGAAAUCGCCUACCUCAACGACGCCCUGCCUCGCUUCAGCUCUUACUACUGGAUCGGGAUCCGCAAGAUCAAUGGCAGCUGGACCUGGGUGGGAACCAGGAAGACCCUCACCGCGGAGGCCGAGAACUGGGCGGAGGGCGAGCCCAACAACAGGAGGAACAACCAGGACUGCGUGGAGAUCUACAUCAAGAGCUCGUUGUCACCCGGCAAGUGGAACGACGAGCCCUGCGGAAAGAGGAAGCGGGCCCUGUGCUACACAGCCUCCUGCCACAACACGUCCUGCAGCGAGCAAGGAGAAUGCAUCGAGACCAUCGGGAGCCACACCUGCUCCUGCCACCCUGGCUUCCACGGCCCCGAAUGUGAGCACGUCAGAGAGUGCGGAGAACUUGACCUCCCUCCACACGUGCUCAUGACCUGCAGGCAUCCGCUGGGGAGCUUCUCGUUCAAGUCCCAGUGCAGCUUCUACUGCGCGGAAGGCUACCUGCUGAACGGACCCAGCCAGCUGGAAUGUCUGGCUUCUGGCAACUGGACGCAUAAGCCCCCGCAGUGUGUAGCAAUCACGUGCCAGCCGCUGGAGGGUCCUGCUCACGGCAGCCUGGACUGCCCCCCACCCCCGGCAACGUUCUGGUACCAGGCCAACUGCAGCUUCCACUGCACCGAGGGCUUCGCACUGAGAGGAGCUGCCUCGGUCCAGUGUGCCAGCCCCGGAGAGUGGACCGCGCCGGCCCCAGUCUGCCAAGCUGUGCAGUGCCAGGACCUUCCGGCUCCACACAAGGCCCGGGUGACCUGCUCCCACCCCUUUGGUGCCUUUAGGUACCAGUCAGCCUGCAGCUUUGCCUGUGAGGACGGCUUCCUCCUGGUGGGAGCGAGUGCCCUGCAGUGUCUGGACACUGGGCACUGGAGCGCUGCCCCCCCGGAAUGCCAAGGCGUCACCUGCUCGCCUCUGCUAAGCCCUCAGAAUGGAACCAUGUCCUGCGUCCACCCACCUGGAGAUUCCAGCUAUAACUCCACGUGCUGGUUCACCUGCGAUGAGGGAUUCUCUCUGUCCGGGCCAGGAAGACUGGCCUGUGCUGCUUCUGGCCACUGGACAGGCUCCCCACCCACGUGCGAAGCCGUCAAGUGCCCAGAAUUAUUUGCCCCUGAGCAGGGAAGCCUGGCCUGUGCUGACGCUCAUGGAGAAUUCAGUGUUGGCUCCACCUGCCAUUUCUCCUGUAACGAGGGCUUUGAACUGGACGGGCUCAGCGAUGCCACAUGCACAACUUCUGGGCGAUGGACAGCACCCCCGCCGACCUGCAAAGGUGUAGCACCAGUCCCUGCCCCAGAGGGGCGCUGCCCAGCCCUCCACCCUCCAGGGCAGGGAACAGUGUCCUGUGGGCCUCGUCUGGGACCUUUCAGCUUGAACAACACCUGUUAUUUCGGAUGCAAUGCUGGGUUCACGCUCGUGGGAGAUGGUGCUCUCAGAUGCAGACCUUCAGGACAAUGGACAGCAGCAGCUCCCGCGUGCAGGGCUGUCAAGUGCUCUGAGCUGCACAUUGGUGAGCCAGUCGCAAUGAACUGCUCCAACCCCUGGGCAAACUUCAGCUAUGGAUCUGCCUGCAGCUUCCAUUGUCCAGAAGGUCAAUCACUCAAUGGUUCCGCAAGAACAGUGUGCCAAGAGAAUGGCCACUGGGCAACUCCCUUGCCAACCUGCCAAGAGAGGCCGCUGACCGUCCAGGAAGCGCUGACCUACGUCGGUGGAGCGGUGGCUUCUACAGUAGGUUUGGUGACAUGUGGGACACUGCUGGCUCUGCUAAAAAAGCGUUUCAGACAGAACGAUGAUGGGAAAAGCCCCUUGAACCCUCACAGCCACCUAGGAACAUACGGAGUUUUUACGAAUGCUGCAUUUGACCCGAGCCCUUGAGGUACGUUACCCAUGAAGAUAUUUCAGAAGGACACAGACCAGUAGGGAAACAGGAAGAAUAUAAAGCUUGACUUUUCUUUCUGUCGUCAUGAGUUAAGUCUUAAGCAUGUAUUAAAUUUUCAAGCCAUGACGGAAAUUGCGUUGGCAGAAGGGGACAGAAACAGCAAUAGAGUGACAAUAAAAAGUAAGUCCAUGUGAGGAUUCCCAUUUCCUCCAGGAUGGACACGUCCCACUAAGACACACUUAUUUCAGGAGGCGUGGCAUUCCCACGGGUGGCCGCUAGCUGGCACUCACACCGUGGCCUUGCGUGAUAACCAGAAGUCACGGCUGCUGGGAAAAUUUUAGGAACUCUGUGCCACCUGCUGGGGAAAUGAAAAUAAUCUGCCUCCCCAAGAAGAGACCUGUCCUCUCCUCUUGGUCAUCUAAGCCUCCACAGGAUCCUAUUUUUGCACACAGGCUUCCGGCUAGAUUUGACUUUAACUGCGGUGUACUUGCUGAGAUUUCUGUGAAUACUUUAAAUAAACGAUGUGGAAUUUCGUCUGGAUGAGCUCUGGGUCAGAGCAGGAUUGUACCAGGAGCUCAGACUCCCCUCCAGCACCCGUCCUGCUCCAACACGAGCCCCAGGAGCCAGGACUGGAUGCUUCUGCUGUGGGCUGUGGGCUCUGCCCGGCUGUCCCUGGAAAUACUCAUCAGCCAGAGACUGGGUCAUUUGGCUUAUCAGAAGAUCAGAGUACGGAAAAAUAAUGCCUCUUUACUUUGAGACUGGAGGAAUGCAUCCUCCAUGCUGGAAGGCAGGCGGCGUCCUGACUUGAGGGGAUUUCUCUAAGAUCAUCCGCAGCCUCCUGCAGAAGUAUUUGCUGUUACUGACGCCUCCGGACUCUGCUGCGAGGCUUCCAGAGCAGCCCCUUCUGCAGAAGACCGUGAACCAAGACAGAAAGGACCCUGUCAGUGUACAGCUGCCCUCCCUCCAGCAGUCACUCUCCGCCCAAGGACCCAAAGACCAAUACUCAAAUGUGUAAUUUAAAGGAUUCCCCCCUCAGAGCCCAUGUCCUAUCAUUCGAUGUUUUGUUCCAUAAAGUCUGUGUAUACCACUAUGUUUGCAUCAGUAUAAUAAACACUUACAGUUGUCCCAGUUAGA